Molecule: ribosomal RNA, 593 nt
Filed under: uncultured bacterium
Lineage: Bacteria
Description: partial 16S ribosomal RNA
Rfam family: Bacterial small subunit ribosomal RNA
Source: RNAcentral
AGGAAGGGAGUAAAGUUMMYACCUUUGCUCAUUGACGUUACCCGCAGAAGAAGCACCGGCUAACUCCGUGCCAGCAGCCGCGGUAAUACGGAGGGUGCAAGCGUUAAUCGGAAUUACUGGGCGUAAAGCGCACGCAGGCGGUUUGUUMAGUCAGAUGUGAAAUCCCCGGGCUCAACCUGGGAACUGCAUCUGAUACUCGCAAGCUUGAGDCUCGUAGAGGGGGGUAGAAAUUCCAGGUGUAGCGGUGAAAUGCGUAGAGAUCUGGAGGAAUACCGGUSGCGAAGGCGGCCCCCUGGACGAASACUGACGCUCAGGUGCGAAAGCGUGGGGAGCAAACAGGAUUAMMHAACCCUGGUAGUCCACGCCGUAAACGAUGUCGACUUGGAGGUUGUGCCCUUGAGGCGUGGCUUCCGGASUAACGCGUUAAGUCGACCGCCUGGGGAGUACGGCCGCAAGGUUAAAACUCAAAUGAAUUGACGGGGGCCCGCACAAGCGGHGAGCAUGUGGUUUAAUUCGAUGCAACGCGAAGAACCUUACCUGGUCUUGACAUCCACAGAACUUUCCAGAGAUGGAUUGGUGCUUCGGGAACUGUG